UGAGGAAUAUUGGUCAAUGGGCGGAAGCCUGAACCAGCCAAGUCGCGUGAGGGAAGACGGCCCUACGGGUUGUAAACCUCUUUUGUCGGGGAGCAAGGGACGGCACGAGUGCCGUGGCGAGAGUACCCGAAGAAAAAGCAUCGGCUAACUCCGUGCCAGCAGCCGCGGUAAUACGGAGGAUGCGAGCGUUAUCCGGAUUUAUUGGGUUUAAAGGGUGCGCAGGCGGAAGAUCAAGUCAGCGGUAAAAUAGCGGGGCUCAACCCCGUCGAGCCGUUGAAACUGGUUUUCUAGAGUGAGCGAGAAGUAUGCGGAAUGCGUGGUGUAGCGGUGAAAUGCAUAGAUAUCACGCAGAACUCCGAUUGCGAAGGCAGCAUACCGGCGCUCAACUGACGCUCAGGCACGAAAGCGUGGGUAUCGAACAGG
RNAcentral lists this ribosomal RNA (423 nucleotides) under uncultured bacterium. RNAcentral describes it as "bacterial SSU rRNA". It matches the Rfam family "Bacterial small subunit ribosomal RNA", at positions 355 to 776 of the family's 1533-position model. The record is from RNAcentral.